AGCCCCCUCCCCUCGAGCCCCCUCUACGCACCCCUGCAUGUCGCGGAAGCAGCGGAUGCACAACAGCAACUUCUUGUCGGUUGAGAACAAGAGUAAUCCAGGCACUUGGCGCUCUGAUAUACCCGCUUUACAGAUGAGGGCACUGCGGCUAAGAGGCAGGGUCACAGUUGGCACAGCGCACCGCCUCCACGCCAUCCCCUGAGCUGUCCACCAGGAACUGCAGCAGCCGGUCCACCGGCGGGAGCCCGCUGGGACCCUUCACCACCGUCUGGUGUCUGCAGAGAAGCCCAGGUCAUCGCAGCCGCAUUUCCUCGGCGGCCAAUUGGGGGCGCCAGACAGCAGCGGACGCCCCUCCACCGACUUUCCAGCGCUUGGGAGGCGGAGUGAGACGCCCUGGAAUCCCAGCCCUGCCUUUCGUUGGUUGUGAGCUCUUGGCCAUGUUACUGACCUCUCAGAGCCUCAGCGCUGGGUUAAAAUAGAACUGGUGUCCUGAUAAUGGGUGAGGCCCCAGUGGAAUAACGCACGUGAAAUACACAUACUGGGCGUCCACUUAAUUAAGGCCCCAUCCUCAUUGCCUGCCAAGUUUCCAAAAGAGGGAUGGGUUUGGGUGGGAGGUUGAGAGGGGAGGCUCCCGGCCUUUCCAGCAGUGCCCCGUCUGCCGUCUGGGCCUGGCAGAUGCGUGUUGAUCCCAGCGUUUUCUCCAGCGUGCCGUCGCUUCCUAGGUCGACGUGAUCAGUGAGCUUUCUCCGCCCGUGUUAUCCUGAGUGUCCGGAGAGCAGCCCGUUUCUGCCCCUCUUGGGAUUACAAAGUCAAGCCUAGAGCCUGACCCACAGUAGUGCCCAAUAAAGGCUUAGAAAAAACUCGGA
Long non-coding RNA from Nomascus leucogenys (northern white-cheeked gibbon), 866 nucleotides. RefSeq lists it as uncharacterized. Lineage: Eukaryota; Metazoa; Chordata; Mammalia; Primates; Hylobatidae. The record is from RefSeq and is a predicted model, not a curated record. The transcript is spliced from 4 exons.